This 237-nucleotide unclassified non-coding RNA is filed under the name Drosophila yakuba. RNAcentral's name for it is "GE22092". The record is from RNAcentral. Lineage: Eukaryota; Metazoa; Arthropoda; Insecta; Diptera; Drosophilidae.
UCGAUGCAAACACUGCACUAGUCUCAAAUCUGUCAAAGUAGUUCGACUUAAUAGGCCCAGUGACAAAAUUUACUUGUGAAAUUGAACAAAUUAUUAUUAUCGGUUUCACUUAAGCAAGGAUAUCGAUUUCCUUAUGUAAUAUGGAAAGCUGUUGGUGAAAUGACACAAUUAAAAAAAACUUACGCUUGAAGGAUUUAUUAACGAGAACGUCUUUCUUUCAGUUUACGAAAUAAAGAA